Molecule: long non-coding RNA, 1602 nt
Organism: Bos taurus (domestic cattle)
Lineage: Eukaryota; Metazoa; Chordata; Mammalia; Artiodactyla; Bovidae
Source: Ensembl
UAGAACACUGCAGCUUUAUUGAUUGAAACAACCGCGUCCGCAACUAGAGGUUACAUUUGGGGGUGGGGCUGGGGCAUGGGGUGAACAGGGAACAAAAUGGGGGCAGAGGCUGGGGUGGAGACAGAGAGCAAGGCAAAGGGGUGAGGACGGGGUCGUGUGACUGAAACAACCCCGCUCCAUUCCACCCGUGAAUGAGGGUCUCCAGUUGUGCUUUUACCGUGGUGGUGGGGGUGGGCCUGGGCACGGAGGGGCUGGCUUUCUCCCGAGUCCUUGAGGCCUCAGGGCUGGGGCAGUCCCCUCCUUCUCCUGGGCUUUCUCUUGGGUUGGGGAUAAAGGCCUUGGUGAGCUGUCUGCCCUGGGGCAGGAAGGGUGCUCAGAGGCCACCAGGGCAGACGGGCCAGCAGAGUUGGACUGAGAUGAUGAUUACAUGGGUGGCUGGGGGUAGGGGGCGUGCCAGGAGGCACAGCAUUCCCAGGGGGGCCCCUUGGAAAUGAAGGCAGGAAAUAGGAGGAGAGGGGGUGGUGGGGGGCAAGGGCCAUCUUUCUGGACCUCAGCUUUCUCACCUGUUCAGUGGGGGCACUGGAUUAAGUGGCUCCUAAGGUCCCUUCCAGCUCUAAGGGUCAAGGGAUCCCCAGGAAAAGUGGGAUCCUUCUGCCCCAACACACACCCUCACGCAUACACUCUUACAUCCCCUCUCUCUCUCACACACACAUACAUCCUCUCGUAGGGGUACACAGCAGCACUGAGACAACAGAGAGGGGUACGAGCCUGCCUUUGGAAUUGAGGCGGGCUUCCCUGAGCCCAGAAACUCAAGUGGUGACUCUCCAGGGCAGACUCGGCCAUCCCAUUCCUGAAGACAGACCCUGGAAGUACCCCCUCUCCCCCUUGAGCUGUCCAGAGAAGAAAACACAAGGAUUAUCCUUUCUCCCCCAGGCUUCCCCGAUCCUUAGGGGGAACGUCAACAGGACGAGGACACCAGGGCACACGGACCUUCAUUCCCAGCCCAGGUUCACGUGAGGACAGAGAAGGGAGACAGAGCCCCUUUAUGUGGGAGCCUGGGCGGGGCCGGGGGGGGAUGGGGGGCAGGCAGCAGCUAUAGCCAGUGUGGGCAGGGGUGGUGGCAGCCUCUGUGUGGCAGCCAGGCCUGACCUGGGGCAGGAGAGGCUGUGGCCUGGGAUGUGAGGCCUGAAUUAGGGCAGGGAGGCAGUCCUUUUCCCAGUGCAGGGCCCAGUAACAGCUGUAACAUCUGCAGCAGCACCCAGAGACAGGGCUGUCUGACCAAGUUCCUCCUGGCUGCCUGGCAGGGCAGCGGCCACAGGUGUGACAGCCCCAGGGCUGCGGUGCCUGGCUUCUAAGGCUGGCUCCACCUCAGCUGGCUAUGUGAGCUGGGCCAAGUCCUCCCCACCUGCCCUUGGCUUCACUGUCAUUUGUCCCGUGAGGAGUUUGGGCCCCUGAGGCCCUUCCCAGCACUGAUGGCCUGAGCCUGGGGCUGUCACUGAGCACAGAGGGGAAAGUGAAUGAGAAAGAGGAGUCAGGCGUCCCAGAGAGAGCAGAGGCGGAUGUCGUGUCCCAGCAGGACGGGGCUUGGUCAGCAGGCUUAGC